UACGUAUGGUGCAAGCGUUAUCCGGAUUUACUGGGUGUAAAGGGAGCGUAGGCGGCGCGUUAAGUCUGAUGUGAAAACCCGAGGCUCAACCACGGGAGUGCAUUGGAAACUGGCGGGCUGGAGUGCCGGAGAGGUAAGCGGAAUUCCUAGUGUAGCGGUGAAAUGCGUAGAUAUUAGGAGGAAUACCAGUGGCGAAGGCGGCUUACUGGACGGCAACUGACGCUGAGGCUCGAAAGCGUGGGGAGCAAACAGG
RNAcentral lists this ribosomal RNA (253 nucleotides) under uncultured bacterium. RNAcentral's name for it is "partial 16S ribosomal RNA". It matches the Rfam family "Bacterial small subunit ribosomal RNA", at positions 524 to 776 of the family's 1533-position model. The record is from RNAcentral.